CGUCUCGGGUGGUUCUGGCCGGUGGUCUUGUGCCGCGCCGUUCCCGGCCACGUGAGCGGCUCUGCUCACUCCCAGUCGCUUUUAGGGACUGGCGCUUCUUCCUUGCAUCUUCAGGGGCUGAGGUCUUGAAGGCGGGCUGCUUGCGCAUCCGUCUCGUCAGUUUUGAGAGGAAGCGCUUGUCCCCGCCCACGAAGGUGUCGUCGUUUUCUGGCGUGGCGCUAGGAGCACGCUAGGGUCCUGCGCCUGCUCUUACCGCAUGGAGGUUUUCUGUCCGUGCGUCGUCGCUCUCGCCGACCAACUUGGCUUGUAUUUUGAGGCGUGUUGUUGUUGGCGUUCUGUGUAGGGUUCGCCUGUGGUUGUGGUGUCUUGGCUUGGAGCCGCCCUGCCCGGGGGUGUCGAGUCAGGGCAAGGUGGCACAGGAACGAUGAGAGGCUAUGGCUUAUGUGUCAAAGUGCCUUGCUUCUUUGGGGGAAAUGAUGUGUGGCCCUCCUAGAUCGAGCGGCCGUUGUCAGUGGGUGAGAAGAAGAAUUCCCAUGGUGUUUUGUGGCUUCCCAGGGGCUGACGGUAGCUGUCGGGGAGAGGGAGCUCCUGCGUCAGCGGAGCAGAGAGCAUCUCAAGGACAUUCCGGCUUGGAUGUGGGUCGGGCGUAAUGCUUGGUUUACGGUGCUUAGAUGGCAGAGCAGGCCUAGCUGGGCUCUCGAUGGGCUUGCUACCUGGGAACAAGGCCUGUGGAAUGGCUAAGCUAUUGCUGUUCAUUGAGGGGACUUGUUUGAUAUUUUGGCAGAUGCCGAGGGAGGAGUCGUGCAGGGCGACGGAGGAGGGCCGAGGAUAGCGCUGUAAGCAGGUGGUGGUCGAGCUUGAACAUGGCAGUUGGAACUGAUGGCGUCCAGGUGCCGCAAUCAGCCUUCAGAGGGGAGACGACGCAUGGCGACGAGGGGUCCGAGAAGACUGUGUGCGGCUGCCUUUGGGACUGGAUGCGCGUUUGAGGGGCCACAAGGGAGGACAACAGUGUGAGUUGGGCACGGCCACAGAGCAAGUGAGCAGAGCAGCUGGGCGCAUCUGAGGUAGACGGAUGCAGCGGCCUAGGUCUUUGUAGAGUGAUGGGAUGCUGACUGACAGGGCUGUUGUGUGGGGCUUGUGAUAGUUUUUGUUUUUUUCAGAUGACGAAGAGGCAGCUGGUGACUGGAGGAGUGACGUGUGCUUGUCCUCCAGAAGGAAGGGAAGAGGGAGAGACUCGGCCCCUUGAAAGCUAAGUUGAGGCAACGGUGCUGGGGAAGGGGUUGGGGGAGCGAGGGGGGGCACGGUUGGCUGUGGCAGGAAGGGGUUCUAAAGAGAGCGUAGGGGAGAGGGUUGUCUAGGAAGCGGUCCCCUUUGAGCAGGGGAAUGGAGCGGGUUCCUCUGAAAUAUGACAGUAGUGUGCCCUGGGCAGGGCGGUUCCAGGCUGUGCGUGUCGUUGUGUAGUGCGUCUGUGUGUUGGGUGUGUUUGACCUUCCUCGGGUCUCGGGUGUUCUUUGUUCCGCAGGAUCUCGAGGCAGGUGCCUCGGCAGCGUUAGUAGGGCCCGGCGAGGCCCUAGUCGUGGGCACGGCGCCCAUCGGGCGCUUCUCUUUUGGCGUCGCAAGCUUCCGGCGUGGAUCGUUUUGGCGUCUCGGGUGGUUCUGGCCGGUGGUCUUGUGCCGCGCCGUUCCCGGCCACGUGAGCGGCUCUGCUCACUCCCAGUCGCUUUUAGGGACUGGCGCUUCUUCCUUGCAUCUUCAGGGGCUGAGGUCUUGAAGGCGGGCUGCUUGCGCAUCCGUCUCGUCAGUUUUGAGAGGAAGCGCUUGUCCCCGCCCACGAAGGUGUCGUCGUUUUCUGGCGUGGCGCUAGGAGCACGCUAGGGUCCUGCGCCUGCUCUUACCGCAUGGAGGUUUUCUGUCCGUGCGUCGUCGCUCUCGCCGACCAACUUGGCUUGUAUUUUGAGGCGUGUUGUUGUUGGCGUUCUGUGUAGGGUUCGCCUGUGGUUGUGGUGUCUUGGCUUGGAGCCGCCCUGCCCGGGGGUGUCGAGUCAGGGCAAGGUGGCACAGGAACGAUGAGAGGCUAUGGCUUAUGUGUCAAAGUGCCUUGCUUCUUUGGGGGAAAUGAUGUGUGGCCCUCCUAGAUCGAGCGGCCGUUGUCAGUGGGUGAGAAGAAGAAUUCCCAUGGUGUUUUGUGGCUUCCCAGGGGCUGACGGUAGCUGUCGGGGAGAGGGAGCUCCUGCGUCAGCGGAGCAGAGAGCAUCUCAAGGGCGUUCCGGCUUGGAUGUGGGUCGGGCGUAAUGCUUGGUUUACGGUGCUUAGAUGGCAGAGCAGGCCUAGCUGGGCUCUCGAUGGGCUUGCUACCUGGGAACAAGGCCUGUGGAAUGGCUAAGCUAUUGCUGUUCAUUGAGGGGACUUGUUUGAUAUUUUGGCAGAUGCCGAGGGAGGAGUCGUGCAGGGCGACGGAGGAGGGCCGAGGAUAGCGCUGUAAGCAGGUGGUGGUCGAGCUUGAACAUGGCAGUUGGAACUGAUGGCGUCCAGGUGCCGCAAUCAGCCUUCAGAGGGGAGACGACGCAUGGCGACGAGGGGUCCGAGAAGACUGUGUGCGGCUGCCUUUGGGACUGGAUGCGCGUUUGAGGGGCCACAAGGGAGGACAACAGUGUGAGUUGGGCACGGCCACAGAGCAAGUGAGCAGAGCAGCUGGGCGCAUCUGAGGUAGACGGAUGCAGCGGCCUAGGUCUUUGUAGAGUGAUGGGAUGCUGACUGACAGGGCUGUUGUGUGGGGCUUGUGAUAGUUUUUGUUUUUUUCAGAUGACGAAGAGGCAGCUGGUGACUGGAGGAGUGACGUGUGCUUGUCCUCCAGAAGGAAGGGAAGAGGGAGAGACUCGGCCCCUUGAAAGCUAAGUUGAGGCAACGGUGCUGGGGAAGGGGUUGGGGGAGCGAGGGGGGGCACGGUUGGCUGUGGCAGGAAGGGGUUCUAAAGAGAGCGUAGGGGAGAGGGUUGUCUAGGAAGCGGUCCCCUUUGAGCAGGGGAAUGGAGCGGGUUCCUCUGAAAUAUGACAGUAGUGUGCCCUGGGCAGGGCGGUUCCAGGCUGUGCGUGUCGUUGUGUAGUGCGUCUGUGUGUUGGGUGUGUUUGACCUUCCUCGGGUCUCGGGUGUUCUUUGUUCCGCAGGAUCGAGGCAGGUGCCUCGGCAGCGUUAGUAGGGCCCGGCGAGGCCCUAGUCGUGGGCACGGCGCCCAUCGGGCGCUUCUCUUUUGGCGUCGCAAGCUUCC
This is a non-coding RNA of Phalacrocorax carbo (great cormorant), 3265 nucleotides long. The record is from RefSeq and is a predicted model, not a curated record. NCBI's taxonomy places the organism in Eukaryota, Metazoa, Chordata, Aves, Suliformes, Phalacrocoracidae.